RNAcentral lists this small nucleolar RNA (107 nucleotides) under Brassica napus (rape). Its description in RNAcentral is "Plant small nucleolar RNA R71". It matches the Rfam family "Plant small nucleolar RNA R71". Rfam says of the family: R71 is a member of the C/D box family of snoRNAs containing the C (UGAUGA) and D (CUGA) box motifs. Multiple nearly identical copies of this snoRNA have been identified in Arabidopsis, and it is thought to function as a 2'-O-ribose methylation guide for 18S ribosomal RNA. Lineage: Eukaryota; Viridiplantae; Streptophyta; Magnoliopsida; Brassicales; Brassicaceae. The record is from Rfam by way of RNAcentral. RNAcentral also lists the same sequence under 1 other name.
AAGCCAUGGUGUGGGCAUUGAGCUUGGUAGCCCUUGAAUCUCUCCCAGGCUUCACUGAAGCCUUCCAAGCCCAUCUGUUGAAAACUGAAGAUCUCAUUUCUCAGCUU